This 497-nucleotide ribosomal RNA is filed under the name uncultured bacterium. Its description in RNAcentral is "partial 16S ribosomal RNA". The stretch from base 20 to 341 matches the Rfam family "Bacterial small subunit ribosomal RNA", at positions 47 to 358 of the family's 1533-position model. The record is from RNAcentral.
GAUGAACGCUGGCGGCGUGCCUAAUACAUGCAAGUCGAGCGAACAGACGAGGAGCUUGCUCCUCUGACGUUAGCGGCGGACGGGUGAGUAACACGUGGAUAACCUACCUAUAAGACUGGGAUAACUUCGGGAAACCGGAGCUAAUACCGGAUAAUAUAUUGAACCGCAUGGUUCAAUAGUGAAAGACGGUUUUGCUGUCACUUAUAGAUGGAUCCGCGCCGCAUUAGCUAGUUGGUAAGGUAACGGCUUACCAAGGCGACGAUGCGUAGCCGACCUGAGAGGGUGAGCGACAACAAUGGAGAGGAGACAGGACACAGACUCCAAGGGGGGGAAGAGGGGGGAAUGCGCAGGAAAGGGGCAAAGCAGGGAAGAAGAAAGGAGGGGGGAGGAAGAAGGGUUUAGGGAACGAAAAACGGUUUUAUGGGGGAAAAAAAAAGGUGAAAGAAAAAAGGCAGGUUUGGAGGGAAAAAAAGAAAAAGACCACGACAAACACGGGC